UUGGCUGUAAGUUUGUCAUAUUAUGGUAUC
RNAcentral lists this non-coding RNA (30 nucleotides) under Mus musculus (house mouse). Lineage: Eukaryota; Metazoa; Chordata; Mammalia; Rodentia; Muridae. The record is from RNAcentral.